GCACUCACUUUGACAGCACAUACAUUGAAACUGAAAUGAUACACAGAAGGUUAGCAUGACCCUUGUACAAGGAUGCCAUGUAAAUUCAUGAACGGUUCCAUUUUUUU
Molecule: small nuclear RNA, 107 nt
Organism: Erinaceus europaeus (western European hedgehog)
Lineage: Eukaryota; Metazoa; Chordata; Mammalia; Eulipotyphla; Erinaceidae
Source: Ensembl